RNAcentral lists this ribosomal RNA (271 nucleotides) under uncultured prokaryote. Its description in RNAcentral is "partial 16S ribosomal RNA". It matches the Rfam family "Bacterial small subunit ribosomal RNA", at positions 524 to 794 of the family's 1533-position model. The record is from RNAcentral.
UACGGAGGGGGCUAGCGUUGUUCGGAAUUACUGGGCGUAAAGCGCACGUAGGCGGAUCAGCCAGUCAGGGGUGAAAUCCCGGGGCUCAACCCCGGAACUGCCCUUGAUACUGCUGGUCUGGAGUUCGAGAGAGGCGAGUGGAAUUCCGAGUGUAGAGGUGAAAUUCGUAGAUAUUCGGAGGAACACCAGUGGCGAAGGCGGCUCGCUGGCUCGACACUGACGCUGAGGUGCCAAAGCGUGGGGAGCAAACAGGAUUAGAUACCCCCGUAGU